GGGCUAAUAUCCUUUACUAAUGACGGUACCUGAAGAAUAAGCACCGGCUAACUACGUGCCAGCAGCCGCGGUAAUACGUAGGGUGCAAGCGUUAAUCGGAAUUACUGGGCGUAAAGCGUGCGCAGGCGGUUUUGUAAGUCUGACGUGAAAUCCCCGGGCUCAACCUGGGAAUUGCGUUGGAGACUGCAAGGCUAGAAUCUGGCAGAGGGGGGUAGAAUUCCACGUGUAGCAGUGAAAUGCGUAGAGAUGUGGAGGAACACCGAUGGCGAAGGCAGCCCCCUGGGUCAAGAUUGACGCUCAUGCACGAAAGCGUGGGGAGCAAACAGGAUUAGAUACCCUGGUAGUCCACGCCCUAAACGAUGUCUACUAGUUGUCGGGUUUUAAUUAACUUGGUAACGCAGCUAACGCGUGAAGUAGACCGCCUGGGGAGUACGGUCGCAAGAUUAAAACUCAAAGGAAUUGACGGGGACCCGCACAAGCGGUGGAUGAUGUGGAUUAAUUCGAUGCAACGCGAAAAACCUUACCUACCCUUGACAUGUACGGAAGACCGAAGAGAUUUGGUUGUGCUCGAAAGAGAACCGUAACACAGGUGCUGCAUGGCUGUCGUCAGCUCGUGUCGUGAGAUGUUGGGUUAAGUCCCGCAACGAGCGCAACCCUUGUCAUUAGUUGCUACAUUCAGUUGAGCACUCUAAUGAGACUGCCGGUGACAAACCGGAGGAAGGUGGGGAUGACGUCAAGUCCUCAUGGCCCUUAUGGGUAGGGCUUCACACGUCAUACAAUGGUACAUACAGAGGGCCGCCAACCCGCGAGGGGGAGCUAAUCCCAGAAAGUGUAUCGUAGUCCGGAUCGCAGUCUGCAACUCGACUGCGUGAAGUUGGAAUCGCUAGUAAUCGCGGAUCAGCAUGUCGCGGUGAAUACGUUCCCGGGUCUUGUACACACCGCCCGUCACACCAUGGGAGCGGGUUUUACCAGAAGUAGGUAGCUUAACCGCAAGGAGGGCGCUUACCACGGUAGGAUUCGUGACUGGGGUGAAGUCGUAACAAGGUAGCCGUAUCGGAAGGUGCGGCUGGAUCACCUCCUUU
This 1082-nucleotide ribosomal RNA is filed under the name Oxalobacteraceae sp. CFBP 13730. Its description in RNAcentral is "bacterial SSU rRNA". It matches the Rfam family "Bacterial small subunit ribosomal RNA", at positions 452 to 1533 of the family's 1533-position model. The record is from RNAcentral. Lineage: Bacteria; Pseudomonadati; Pseudomonadota; Betaproteobacteria; Burkholderiales; Oxalobacteraceae.